This 64-nucleotide transfer RNA is filed under the name Oniscus asellus. RNAcentral's name for it is "tRNA-Ser". The record is from RNAcentral. Lineage: Eukaryota; Metazoa; Arthropoda; Malacostraca; Isopoda; Oniscidae.
UCCUAAUAGCUAAUGAAAGUAAUGUUUUGAAAACAUUUGAUAAAGUCUCAUCCCCUAUAAUAAU